Molecule: transfer RNA, 73 nt
Filed under: Felis catus (domestic cat)
Lineage: Eukaryota; Metazoa; Chordata; Mammalia; Carnivora; Felidae
Rfam family: tRNA
About the family: Transfer RNA (tRNA) molecules are approximately 80 nucleotides in length.
Source: Rfam by way of RNAcentral
GUCUUGCUGGCUCUGUCAGUAGAGCAUGUGACUCUUGAUCUCAGGGUCAUGAGUUCAAGCCCCAUUUGGGGCA